AACUAUGUGCCAGCAGCUGCGGUAAUACAUAGGUCGCGAGCGUUAUUCGGAUUUAUUGGGCGUAAAGCAAGCGCAGGCGGAUUGAUAAGUUCUGUGUUAAAAGCAGCUGCUCAACAGUUGUUUGCACCGAAUACUGUCAGUCUAGAAUGUGGUAGGGAGUUUCGGAAUUAAAUAUGGAGCGGUGGAAUGUGUAGAUAUAUUUAAGAACACCAGAAGCGAAGGCGGAAACUCAGGCCAUUAUUGACGCUUAGGCUUGAAAGUGUGGGGAGCAAAUGGGAUUAGAUACCCCAGUAGUCCACACCGUAAACGAUGGGUAUUAGAUGUCGGGWUUUAAUUCUCGGCGUUGUAGCUUACGUGUUAAAUACCCCGCCUGGGUAGUACAUAUGCAAAUAUGAAACUCAAAGGAAUUGACGGGGACCUGAACAAGUGGUGGAACAUGUUGCUUAAUUCGAUAAUACACGAAAAACCUUACCAAGGUUUGACAUCCCCCGCAAAGCCAUGGAAACAUGGUGGAGGUUAUCGGGGUGACAGGUGGUGCAUGGUUGUCGUCAGCUCGUGUCAUGAGAUGUUUGGUUAAGUCCCGCAACGAGCGCAACCCUACUCCUUAGUUACCUUUUCUAGGGAGACUGAACAGUAAUGUAUAGGAAGGUUGGGAUCACGUCAAAUCAUCAUGCCCCUUAUGCCUUGGGCUGCAAACGUGUUACAAUGGCGAGUACAAUGUGUCGCAAGCUAGCGAUAGCAAGCCAAUCACCUAAAACUCGUCUCAGUUCGGAUAGGAGGCUGCAAUUCGCCUCCUUGAAGUUGGAAUCACUAGUAAUCCCGUGUCAGCUAUAUCGGGGUGAAUACGUUCCCAGGUCUUGUACAC
RNAcentral lists this ribosomal RNA (865 nucleotides) under uncultured Mycoplasma sp. RNAcentral describes it as "bacterial SSU rRNA". It matches the Rfam family "Bacterial small subunit ribosomal RNA", at positions 499 to 1388 of the family's 1533-position model. The record is from RNAcentral. Lineage: Bacteria; Bacillati; Mycoplasmatota; Mollicutes; Mycoplasmatales; Mycoplasmataceae.